GACAGAGGGUGCAAGCGUUGUCCGGAAUUAUUGGGCGUAAAGAGCUCGUAGGCGGUUUGUUGCGUCGGCUGUGAAAUCCUGAGGCUCAACCUCGGGUCUGCAGUCGAUACGAGCAAACUAGAGUGUUGCAGGGGAGACUGGAAUUCCUGGUGUAGCGGUGAAAUGCGCAGAUAUCAGGAGGAACACCGGUGGCGAAGGCGGGUCUCUGGGCAACAACUGACGCUGAGGAGCGAAAGCGUGGGGAGCAAACAGG
This 253-nucleotide ribosomal RNA is filed under the name uncultured bacterium. RNAcentral describes it as "partial 16S ribosomal RNA". It matches the Rfam family "Bacterial small subunit ribosomal RNA", at positions 524 to 776 of the family's 1533-position model. The record is from RNAcentral.